This 117-nucleotide non-coding RNA is filed under the name Gorilla gorilla gorilla (western lowland gorilla). The record is from Rfam by way of RNAcentral. Lineage: Eukaryota; Metazoa; Chordata; Mammalia; Primates; Hominidae.
GCCAGGCAUGGUGGCUCAUGCCUGUAAUCCCAGCACUUUGGGAGGCUGAGGUGGGCGGAUCACCUGAGGUCAGGAGUUUGAGACCAGCCUGGCCAACAUGGUGAAACCCCAUCUCUA